RNAcentral lists this ribosomal RNA (503 nucleotides) under uncultured bacterium. RNAcentral describes it as "partial 16S ribosomal RNA". It matches the Rfam family "Bacterial small subunit ribosomal RNA", at positions 30 to 523 of the family's 1533-position model. The record is from RNAcentral.
AUUGAACGCUGGCGGCAGGCUUAACACAUGCAAGUCGAGCGGGGUGAUGGUGCUUGCACUAUCACUUAGCGGCGGACGGGUGAGUAAUGCUUAGGAAUCUGCCUAUUAGUGGGGGACAACAUCUCGAAAGGGAUGCUAAUACCGCAUACGUCCUACGGGAGAAAGCAGGGGAUCACUUGUUACCUUGCUCUAAUAGAUGAGCCUAAGUCGGAUUAGCUAGUUGGUGGGGUAAAGGCCUACCAAGGCGACGAUCUGUAGCGGGUCUGAGAGGAUGAUCCGCCACACUGGGACUGAGACACGGCCCAGACUCCUACGGGAGGCAGCAGUGGGGAAUAUUGGACAAUGGGGGGAACCCUGAUCCAGCCAUGCCGCGUGUGUGAAGAAGGCCUUAUGGUUGUAAAGCACUUUAAGCGAGGAGGAGGCUCUUUUGGUUAAUACCCAAGAUGAGUGGACGUUACUCGCAGAAUAAGCACCGGCUAACUCUGUGCCAGCCGCCGCGGUAA